Molecule: ribosomal RNA, 301 nt
Filed under: uncultured bacterium
Lineage: Bacteria
Description: partial 16S ribosomal RNA
Rfam family: Bacterial small subunit ribosomal RNA
Source: RNAcentral
CAGUAGCCACGGGAAUACGGAGGGUGCAAGCGUUAUCCGGAUUCACUGGGUUUAAAGGGUGCGUAGGCGGAUCUGUAAGUCAGUGGUGAAAUCUCCAGGCUUAACCUGGAAACUGCCGUUGAUACUAUAGGUCUUGAAUUUUGUGGAGGUUAGCGGAAUAUGUCAUGUAGCGGUGAAAUGCAUAGAUAUGACAUAGAACACCAAUUGCGAAGGCAGCUGGCUACACAACUAUUGACGCUGAGGCACGAAAGCGUGGGGAUCAAACAGGAUUAGAUACCCCCGUAGUCCCUGUCUCUUAUAC